RNAcentral lists this ribosomal RNA (859 nucleotides) under Balamuthia mandrillaris. RNAcentral's name for it is "partial 16S ribosomal RNA". It matches the Rfam family "Bacterial small subunit ribosomal RNA", at positions 532 to 1403 of the family's 1533-position model. The record is from RNAcentral. Lineage: Eukaryota; Discosea; Longamoebia; Balamuthiidae.
AUAUUUCCGGUAUUUUGAACCUGGGGUKGUAAAAGGGUACGCAGGCGGUUAUUUAAAGUAUWAAAAAAAAAAYUAUAUCUUUUUUUAUAAUACUAUAUGACUAGAGUUAAAAAAGGGGGAUGGCGGUACCUCCAGUUUAGAAGUGACAUUUCGUUUGAGAUUGGGGGGACCAACAAUAGGCGAUGGCUGCUUUCCCAUUUUUAUACUGACGCUGAGGUACGAAAGCAUGGGGAGCGAACAGGAUUAGAGACCCUGGUAGUCCAUGCCCUGACCUAUGAAUAUUAAUCGUCCAUUUAGAUAGUGGAUGACUAAGCUAACGCGAAAAUAUUCCACCUGAGGACUACGGCCGCAAGGUUAAAACUCAAAGAAAUUGGCGGAAGAUCGUUUAAGCGGUGGAGUAUGUGGUUUAAUUCGAUAAUACGCGAAAAACCUUACCAAUCUUUGUGCACAUUUUCGGUUCUACAAAACUUGUAGCCCAAAUUGAGGUGGUCAAUUUGGGCUAGCUAUGUGCCAGGCGUUGCAUGGCUGUCGUAAGCUCGUGUCUUAGGAUGUGUGGUUAACUCCAUGAACGGGCGCAACCCUUGUUCCUAGUUAGAUUAGGAAUGAAAACAGUGAAAACUGCUUUUGAGGAUGAGGAGUAUGUCAAGUCAAUAUGACCUUUAUAGAUUGGGCUACACACGUACUACAACGGUAGCUACAAUGAGAAACAAUGCCGUGAGGCGGAGUAAAUCUCUAAAACCUACCCUAGUUCGGAUUAUUUUUUGAAAUAAAAAUAUGAAGCCGGAAUCGCUAGUAAUCGCAAAAAAGAAUGUUGCGGUGAAUAUUAAGACCGAUCUUAGUACACACCGCCCGUCACGCC